This 253-nucleotide ribosomal RNA is filed under the name uncultured bacterium. Its description in RNAcentral is "partial 16S ribosomal RNA". It matches the Rfam family "Bacterial small subunit ribosomal RNA", at positions 524 to 776 of the family's 1533-position model. The record is from RNAcentral.
UACGGAGGGUGCAAGCGUUGUUCGGAAUUAUUGGGCGUAAAGCGCGUGUAGGUGGUUGGGUAAGUCAGAUGUGAAAGCCUUCUGCUUAACAGAAGAAGUGCAUUUGAAACUACUCGGCUGGAGUACGGGAGAGGAGAGUGGAAUUCCCGGUGUAGAGGUGAAAUUCGUAGAUAUCGGGAGGAACACCAGUGGCGAAGGCGGCUCUCUGGUCCGAUACUGACACUGAGACGCGAAAGCGUGGGGAGCAAACAGG